Long non-coding RNA from Xenopus laevis (African clawed frog), 709 nucleotides. RefSeq lists it as uncharacterized. Lineage: Eukaryota; Metazoa; Chordata; Amphibia; Anura; Pipidae. The transcript is spliced from 2 exons. The record is from RefSeq and is a predicted model, not a curated record.
CGGUGAGGACAGAACUUUCCAAAACCAAGAGGAGGUUGAAUUCGUCGAAGGAGUGUAACUACGUCAAGGUGCUUGAUUCGCCCUCUGUAAACAUGGAACAGUUACAUUUAUAAAAUCAUGGAAGGCAGAAUGUAUUAGAGAAAAGAGGGCAGAUGGAAGAAAGACAAAAUAUGUUAUUAAGAAGAAGGCAAAAGGCAGAGAUGGCAAAUUGAUUGUGGAAAUUAGAAAUAAACAAAACAGAUACCGAAGAAAAUAAUGAUUCGUAAAGAAUGGAAGAAACACUGUUGCCUUCGGAUUUGAACAUGAGAAAACAGUGGUAUCUGAAUUUCUAAUGAUGGGAUCUUUUGAGAACUUUGUAUUGCUUCUGCUGGGAGGACACAUCCUCCAUAGUGGGGGUUCAGCAUUUACACUGCUGGGACUAGGACUCUGGACUCUGCAUGUGUACUCCUGAGCAACUGAGCUAGUGUGCUGUUAACACUGAAUUUGUACUUGUAUGGAACAAGGAACUACACAUUUGUUUUGUUCGCAUCAAUAAGUAUCUCUCUCUUGCAAAGCAAAUCUAAUCACAGCGCACACAUACUUGGCCUCAGGGUCAUACUCUGCCCAGAUCCUUUUAAAUUCAUCCAGAUGGUGUGGCCCCAGAAUAGACCAAUCACGAGUCAGAUAAUCAAAAUUAUCCAUGAUCACAGCGACAAAGAGGUUGAUGAUC